GCCGGACGCCAGGCCACUGCUUUGUCGCUCACGGUCCAUUUAGCUAACAUAGGUCAGCUAGGUGGGAAUGAGUUAAGUCUUACCAUCAGAAAUAAGACUGGGACCUGAACUAAAUAGUUGUUUCAACUUCAUUCGAGAAUGUUACUAUCUAGAACCGCUAAGUUUAGACAAAAUGGCGAAAGUGAAACUGGCUGCACCAGGAAGAUUGCAGGGAGCCGGGCAGACAUUGCAGAUGCUUUCACUUUCAGCGCUGAGGCUGAACCGAGUCUUGCAGGAAAUCUCCCGGAGCUACACACUGAGACCCCCUGGUAGCCAGGUCUUUAAAAAAAUUUGGCUUUGGGAACUGGAGAGAUGGCUCAGCGGUUAAGAGCACCCACUGCCCUUCUGAAGGUCCUGAGUUCAAAUCCCAGCAACCACAUGGUGGCUCACAACCAUCCAUAAUGAGAUCUGACUCCCUCUUCUGGAGUGUCUGAAGACAGCUACAGUGUACUUAUAUAUAAUAAAUAAAUAAAUAAUUUAAAAAUA
Apodemus sylvaticus (European woodmouse) is the source of this 525-nucleotide long non-coding RNA. RefSeq lists it as uncharacterized. The record is from RefSeq and is a predicted model, not a curated record. Lineage: Eukaryota; Metazoa; Chordata; Mammalia; Rodentia; Muridae. The transcript is spliced from 2 exons.